Molecule: ribosomal RNA, 382 nt
Filed under: uncultured eukaryote
Lineage: Eukaryota
Description: partial 18S ribosomal RNA
Rfam family: Eukaryotic small subunit ribosomal RNA
Source: RNAcentral
UGUAAGCGUAUACCAAAGUUGUUGCAGUUAAAACGCUCGUAGUCGGAAUUUGGCAGUUCCGGAAGUGUGCACGUCGUGUGCGCACUUUGCGGGGACUGCUUUUGUGGUUUUGCGUAGGAUGAGGCACUUUCAUUAGUGAACGUCCUCACGCAACCACUCUUUACUGUGAGAAAAUCAGAGUGCUCAAAGCAGGCAUUUGCCGUGAAUGUAUUAGCAUGGAAUAAUAGAAUAGGACUCGGUUCUAUUUUGUUGGUUUGUUGGGACUGAGUAAUGAUUAAGAGGGACAGUUGGGGGCAUUUGUAUUCCGGCGCUAGAGGUGAAAUUCUUAGAUUGCCGGAAGACAAACUGCUGCGAAAGCGUCUGCCAAGGAUGUUUUCAUUGA